RNAcentral lists this ribosomal RNA (468 nucleotides) under uncultured bacterium. RNAcentral describes it as "partial 16S ribosomal RNA". It matches the Rfam family "Bacterial small subunit ribosomal RNA", at positions 28 to 507 of the family's 1533-position model. The record is from RNAcentral.
GACGAACGCUGGCGGCGUGCUUAACACAUGCAAGUCGAACGGAAAGGCCCUGCUUUUGUGGGGUGCUCGAGUGGCGAACGGGUGAGUAACACGUGAGUAACCUGCCCUUGACUGUGGGAUAACUUCAGGAAACUGGGGCUAAUACCGGAUAGGAGCUCCUGCUGCAUGGUGGGGGUUGGAAAGUUUCGGCGGUGGGGGAUGGACUCGCGGCUUAUCAGCUUGUUGGUGGGGUAGUGGCUUACCAAGGCUUUGACGGGUAGCCGGCCUGAGAGGGUGACCGGCGACAUGGGGACUGCGAUACGGCCCAGACUCCUACGGGAGGCAGCAGUGGGGAAUAUUGCACAAUGGGCGGGAGCCUGAUGCAGCAGCGCCGCGUGCGGGAUGCCGGCCUUCGGGUUAUGAACCGCUUUCGCCUGUGACGAAGCGUGGGUGACGGUAAUGGGUAAAGAAGCACCGGCUAACUACGUG